This 278-nucleotide ribosomal RNA is filed under the name uncultured bacterium. Its description in RNAcentral is "partial 16S ribosomal RNA". It matches the Rfam family "Bacterial small subunit ribosomal RNA", at positions 506 to 784 of the family's 1533-position model. The record is from RNAcentral.
UGCCAGCAGCCGCGGUAAUACGAAGGGGGCUAGCGUUGUUCGGAAUUACUGGGCGUAAAGCGCACGUAGGCGGAUUAGAAAGUUGGGGGUGAAAUCCCAGGGCUCAACCCUGGAACUGCCUCCAAAACUACUAGUCUUGAGUUCGAGAGAGGUGAGUGAAUUCCGAGUGUAGAGGUGAAAUUCGUAGAUAUUCGGAGGAACACCAGUGGCGAAGGCGGCUAACUGGCUCGGUACUGACGCUGAGAUGCGAAAGCGUGGGGAGCAAACAGGAUUAGAUA